CCUACGGGAGGCAGCAGUGAGGGAUAUUGGUCAAUGGACGAGAGUCUGAACCAGCCAAGUAGCGUGAAGGAUGACUGCCCUAUGGGUUGUAAACUUCUUUUAUAUGGGAAUAAAAUGUUCCACGUGUGGGAUUUUGUAUGUACCAUAUGAAUAAGCAUCGGCUAACUCCGUGCCAGCAGCCGCGGUAAUACGGAGGAUCCGAGCGUUAUCCGGAUUUAUUGGGUUUAAAGGGAGCGUAGGUGGAUUGUUAAGUCAGUUGUGAAAGUUUGCGGCUCAACCGUAAAAUUGCAGUUGAAACUGGCAGUCUUGAGUACAGUAGAGGUGGGCGGAAUGCGUGGUGUAGCGGUGAAAUGCUUAGAUAUCACGAAGAACUCCGAUUGCGAAGGCAGUUCACUGGACUGCAACUGACACUGAGGCUCGAAAGUGUGGGUAUCAAACAGGAUUAGAUACCCUAGUAGUC
RNAcentral lists this ribosomal RNA (460 nucleotides) under uncultured bacterium. RNAcentral's name for it is "partial 16S ribosomal RNA". It matches the Rfam family "Bacterial small subunit ribosomal RNA", at positions 338 to 795 of the family's 1533-position model. The record is from RNAcentral.